UGCCACAGACAGAAGAAUGAAACUGGAUGCCUAUUUCUCACAAUACACAAAAGCGAUUCAAGAUUAAAGACUUAACUGUAAGACUUGAAACUGUAAAAAUACUAGAAGAAAAUCUAGGGAAAACUGUUCUGGACAUUGGCCUAGAAAAAGAAUUUCUGACUAAGACUUCAAAAGCACAGUAAACAAAAAUAGACAAACGGGACUUAAUGAAACUAAAACUCUUCUGCAGAGCAAAGAAAAUAAGAAACAGAGUGAACAGACAACCUGCAAAAUGGGAGAUAGACAAUGGAGACUAAGAAGAGCAAAGGAAUGACAGAGAGGUGGAGGAUGAGAAAUUACUUAAUGGAUACCUUGACUAUGAAUAAUAGUUUCAAUAAGGAAGACAGAAUGAGUUCUGACACGAUGGUUGGGAGCUGUGACAGGCAGACGAAAAAUGGAGCCAAAUGGCAUGGAGGUGUCAUGAUGUUGGAACAGUAACAAUAACUCAACCAACCAGGGCUUGUCUGAAUACAAUCCUACAGCAGCAGGAGCUGUGGAGAUAUAGAAGGCAAGGAAGACCAGGUUGUGAGGGAAGACGAAUUUACUCCCAGGAAUGUUGGGAUUGAGAGUAAUAUUCUCCAAUAAUGGUGGAAGACAGAACAAUAAAAGCCCACCAGCUCCUUCUGCAUGGUGGGAUAAGAGAAAAGCCAAGGGCAGAAGUGAGAAAAAUAACCAUCACCAAACUGAAAAGAAAACCUUUAUAAAAAAACUGGAUUGAUAAAUGACCUUUAGUAGUGGAAAGAUACCAUUCCAAUGAAGCAUGAAUUGAAAGGAUUUCUUCUGAAAGCUAAUUUACAUUUUUCUUUUUUUUUUUUUCAUUUUCAGUGUGUUUUAGCAGGUGUAUUGUUCUACAUGGUUAGUUUCUUUACCUCUUUGAGAAAAAUGGGUCAGCUUGACACAUCUGGAUGAAAGAAUCCGUUAGGUGAUUAUGAUUGAAGACAGAUUAAGCCUUGUUAUGAGGGGAAUAUUUGGGGGCUUACCCUGAGGUGAUAUUUGAUGAUUUAGCUGUGGGAGAAUUUCCCUCCCAAGAUCAGCGUGACUGACACUGAAAUUGCUACAGGGGAACCGGACCUUUCCAAGAGGUGACAAGGACAUUUACCUGGUACAACACAAUGGUUCUGGACUGGAAGUCUAGUCCCAUUGAUGAAGUUCCCAAAAGAUGUCCAGGUCCUAAUCCCUGGAAUCUGUGAAUAUGUCAUCUUACACAUCAAAAGAACUUUGAAAAUGUGAUUGAGGUUAAGGACCUUGGAAUGAGGAGAUUACCUUGGAUUAUCUGGUUGGGUCCAAGCUAAUCACAUGAGUCCUUAAAGGAGAAGAACCUUUUUUAGCUGGGUCAGAGAGAGAUGUGAUGAUGAAAACAGGCUCAGGGAGAUGCACUGUAAGAAGGGCUUGACCAGUUGUUUUUGACUUUGAAGAUGGAGGGAAGGGCCAGGAGCCAAGGAAGGUGGGUGGCUUUUGGAAGGUGGAAAAAGCAAGGGAACAUUCUCUCCAGAGCCUCCAGAAAGGAGCUCAGCCCUGUUGACAUCUUUGUUUUUAUUUUUUAUUUUUAGUAGCAUUGAGGUCUCACUAUGUUGCACAGGCUGGUCUUGAACUCUUGAGCUCAAGCACUCCUCCCGCCUUGGCUUCCCAAAGUGCUGGGAUUAUAGGCAUGUGCCACCACAUCUGGCUUCCUACUGACAUCUUAACUUUAGUGCAGUGAGACUCAUAUUUGAAUUUCUGACCUUAUAUUAUAGAACCAUAAGACAUUAUAGAAUUAUAUAGAAUUAUAGAACCAUAAGACAAUAACUUUGUGUUGUUUUAAGAUACUAAAUUUUUGGUAAUUUGUUAUGGCAGCACAAUAAAACCAAUAUAGCAUUAUAUUAUGC
RNAcentral lists this long non-coding RNA (1904 nucleotides) under Homo sapiens (human). Its description in RNAcentral is "HSALNT0313188". Lineage: Eukaryota; Metazoa; Chordata; Mammalia; Primates; Hominidae. The record is from RNAcentral.